Long non-coding RNA from Chinchilla lanigera (long-tailed chinchilla), 1005 nucleotides. RefSeq lists it as uncharacterized. The record is from RefSeq and is a predicted model, not a curated record. NCBI's taxonomy places the organism in Eukaryota, Metazoa, Chordata, Mammalia, Rodentia, Chinchillidae. The transcript is spliced from 2 exons.
CGCCGCGAGCCGCCCCGGCGGCCUCUCACCUGUGUCGUCCCCGCGCGUCUGGGCGGCCGCGCUGCUGUUGUGGUAGGACUGGAGUUGCUGAGAUUGAAGGAAAACUCACUCCUUCGGAAGAGCGUGGCCUUCUCCCAUCUUGCUUCCCUUCUGCUGCUGAGCUCCUUGGACACCGGUCCCUGAAUACCAUCAUCGAGAAGACCUUGUAGGUGGGCUGCCCAGCCUUUUGGAGAGGAGGAACACCAGCGGCACUUUCCCCAGUAGAUUGGCUCUUCCUUCAAGUAAUAGCUCUCAUCCGGAUCAGACAAAAGAUGAACCAGCUGGACAACUGCUUGGAGGACUAAGCUCUAGGGGCAGUGAAAUGGCAUCAGUGUUCUAACCUACCCAUAGAAAUGCAAGGGGAGGAGAAUGUAUUUCGCAGCUCUUCCCAGGGUGCUUUCUAUGUGAUCCUGGAAGGGAUGGGUUGAUAAAAUCCUUAGGGAUAGAAAGUAGGGAGUAAUCAGAAUGUAGAGAAAUGGGAAACUGUUUUACUUCAGGGUUCCUGUUUUUCUGACCGAGGUAUAUAAAUUAGGCGCUCCGGCUAGCUCAUCUCUGACUGGAGGGCAGGCUAAGUACUCUAGUGGGCCUCCUGCUCAGUUCUUGCCCUGUAGUAAAGAGAAGACAAGGCGGAAGUGCCAAUUCAUGAGCCUCCAUGUCCUUCCUGUACACUCCAGAGCUCGACGGUGCACACAACAGUCUUGCCAUUCUAGGACGUGAGCGCUGAGGGUGUCUUUGUUUACCUGAGGGUAUGGGUCAUUGCUAACAGAGUACUUCAAGCGAAGUGGAAUUUGAACCCUUUGUCUAGAAGUCAGGUGGCCAGGUCCUGUAUUGAAUUAAUUAGGUCAAUGGAGACACCAGGUAGAGCAGGAAACUUUAGACAUAGUUGGCUGAGAGGCAAUAUUGCUGGUUAGCUGUAGAGGCGGGUGUCGUGGAACAAACUUAGACUAAUAAAAUGUGGAACCAGCA